CUGUGGGAGCCAGAGAGCAGGCAGGGUGUGGCGGGCGCCUGACUGACGGCCCCGUCUCCUGCUAGACCAGUCUCGGCUCCGCACAGCGGCCUGCUAGGGCGGCCGGAAGGCAGGCAGCAAGGACUCAGCCCUCAGCCGCGCAGGAUCGCUGCUGUGCAAGAGGGGAUCUAUUCAAAGCGUUUGCAACAUGCCACUCACGCGCCUGCUGUGGCCCUCACGUCCGGUUAACACUUCCGCACUCCUGUUGGUGGGCGGCCCUGCUUGGCCGCUGCGCUGGCGACUCAGAUCCUCAGGCCGCUGCGAGCCGAGCUCCCCACGGUCAGGGACCUCUGUGGACGCUUCUGACACAAGCGACCAAAGUGGCCAAGAAGGAGACUGUGCCUGCUCCCUCUGGUACUGAUCCGGCUGCACCAACAGGAGGGGAGCACUGAAGAUCCAGGCGCCUCCAUGUCUACGCGACACUGCUUCCCUCCUGCAGAUGAGUCUGAGCAGACUCAAGAAUAUUAAUGACCUGCCUGGCAGAACAGGGCUCAGACUCAGCAGGUCUGAUUUCAGUUGGUGGCCUGCACAUGCUGCCAGCGAUUUCCAUACUCAUGGAAACAUGGAUGAGGGAUGCGGUCCUGAAUACAGUCAAAUACCUGGUCUGAAAUGAACACUGCUAAUCCAUCUUUACAAUCAUGAUGCUGAUUCUAACUGUAUGCCAAUGUUAAAUCCAUAAAUGCCAUCCUUAUAGAGACAUAUCAAUACUGCAUAGUCACACAACCAGCAUAUGAAACCCGAAAGAUAUAUUUUCUCCUAUACCUAGAUUUACAUCAAUAUGCAACAAAUAAAU
RNAcentral lists this long non-coding RNA (832 nucleotides) under Heterocephalus glaber (naked mole-rat). Its description in RNAcentral is "lncRNA (ENSHGLG00100037753.1)". The record is from RNAcentral. Lineage: Eukaryota; Metazoa; Chordata; Mammalia; Rodentia; Bathyergidae.